This 71-nucleotide transfer RNA is filed under the name Loxodonta africana (African savanna elephant). It matches the Rfam family "tRNA". From Rfam's summary of the family: Transfer RNA (tRNA) molecules are approximately 80 nucleotides in length. Their secondary structure includes four short double-helical elements and three loops (D, anti-codon, and T loops). Lineage: Eukaryota; Metazoa; Chordata; Mammalia; Proboscidea; Elephantidae. The record is from Rfam by way of RNAcentral.
GCAUUGGUGCCUCAGGGGUAGAAUCUUCACCUUCCAGGCAAGAGACCCAGGUUCAAUUCCUGGCCAAUGCA